GGGGGGGGCAAGCGUUGUUCGGAAUUACUGGGCGUAAAGGGCUCGUAGGUGGUCAACUAAGUCAUACGUGAAAUCCCUCGGCUUAACCGGGGAACUGCGCCUGAUACUGGUUGACUUGAGUUUGGGAGAGGGACGCGGAAUUCCAGGUGUAGCGGUGAAAUGCGUAGAUAUCUGGAGGAACACCGGUGGCGAAGGCGGCGUCCUGGACCAAUACUGACACUGAGGAGCGAAAGCCAGGGGAGCAAACGGGAUUAGAUACCCCGGUAGUCCUGGCCCUAAACGAUGAAUGCUUGGUGUGGCGGGUAUCGAUCCCUGCCGUGCCGAAGCUAACGCAUUAAGCAUUCCGCCUGGGGAGUACGGUCGCAAGGCUG
This 371-nucleotide ribosomal RNA is filed under the name uncultured bacterium. Its description in RNAcentral is "bacterial SSU rRNA". It matches the Rfam family "Bacterial small subunit ribosomal RNA", at positions 527 to 896 of the family's 1533-position model. The record is from RNAcentral.